This 98-nucleotide transfer RNA is filed under the name Streptomyces xantholiticus. RNAcentral describes it as "tRNA-Val". Lineage: Bacteria; Bacillati; Actinomycetota; Actinomycetes; Kitasatosporales; Streptomycetaceae. The record is from RNAcentral.
UCGACGACGUGGACCAGGCCGCCGGUCUCGUGACCGACGUUCGCGAGGAAGGCCGCGGCCUCCUGCUUCUUCACCGUGUCGCUGCCGGUGUUGGCGAA